CUUAUCCAAUUGACACACCAUGUUAUGUGUAUGCUAAUCCAUAUUAUACACCAUGCUAUGUGUAUAUGUUACAGCUGGCGACUGCUGGUGCGCAGACACUUCCAGGCAGCCAAAGUUCAAAGCCAGGUAACUGCCGACACUUAGUUCCAGGCAUACGGGAGAGAUCUGGAUGUCACCCAGACUUGUGCCAAACAGACACGGAGUGUCCCGGAAUUGAACUCUGUUGUUUUGAUGGAUGUGCUAAGGCAUGUUCCCGUCCGGUGCUGGUGAAACCAGGAAAUUGUCCGCUCCUUAACGGACGUGUCAUUGAUAGCAGUACCCUUAGUGGACGUUCGUGUAGUCAUGAUUUUAAUUGUUCUGGCAGACAAAAAUGCUGCCAAUUGUCAAGGAACUGUGCGAACGGAAAUUGCCCUUUUGUUUGUGUGUCACCGCAGAAGGGGCCUCACUAAAUUUAGUCAACAUUAGACAGCCAAUAAGAUGGCGUGUAGGUGCAUGAUACAUGUAAUCCUUCUUGUGAUUCGCUGAAAACUGUAAACUAAAUACUGAGAUGGUCUUUUUUUCUAGAGAAGAAUGUACAUAUUUACGUGAAUUAAACUAUUAUACUCAUAUA
Molecule: long non-coding RNA, 610 nt
Organism: Liolophura sinensis
Lineage: Eukaryota; Metazoa; Mollusca; Polyplacophora; Chitonida; Chitonidae
Exons: 2
Source: RefSeq, a predicted model, not a curated record